AUUGAACGCUGGCGGCAUGCCUUACACAUGCAAGUCGAGCGGCAGCGCGAGGGCAACCCUGGCGGCGAGCGGCGAACGGGUGAGUAAUGCAUCGGAACGUGUCCUCUUGUGGGGGAUAACCAGUCGAAAGACUGGCUAAUACCGCAUGAGCUCGUAAGAGGAAAGCAGGGGACCCGCAAGGGCCUUGCGCGAGAGGAGCGGCCGAUGCCCGAUUAGCUAGUUGGUGGGGUAAAAGCCUACCAAGGCGACGAUCGGUAGCUGGUCUGAGAGGACGACCAGCCACACUGGGACUGAGACACGGCCCAGACUCCUACGGGAGGCAGCAGUGGGAAUUUUGGACAAUGGGGGCAACCCUGAUCCAGCCAUGCCGCGUGUGUGAAGAAGGCCU
Molecule: ribosomal RNA, 388 nt
Filed under: uncultured bacterium
Lineage: Bacteria
Description: bacterial SSU rRNA
Rfam family: Bacterial small subunit ribosomal RNA
Source: RNAcentral